This 253-nucleotide ribosomal RNA is filed under the name uncultured prokaryote. RNAcentral's name for it is "partial 16S ribosomal RNA". It matches the Rfam family "Bacterial small subunit ribosomal RNA", at positions 524 to 776 of the family's 1533-position model. The record is from RNAcentral.
GACGAACCGUGCGAACGUUGUUCGGAUUCACUGGGCUUAGAGGGCGCGUAGGCGGGUCAUCAAGUCAGGGGUGAAAUCUUUCAGCUCAACUGGAAAAGUGCCUUUGAUACUGAUGAUCUCGAGGGAGGUAGGGGCAUGUGGAACUUCCGGUGGAGCGGUGAAAUGCGUAGAUAUCGGAAGGAACGCCGGUGGCGAAAGCGACGUGCUGGACCUCUUCUGACGCUGAGGCGCGAAAGCUAGGGGAGCAAACGGG